CCUACGGGAGGCAGCAGUGGGGAAUUUUGGACAAUGGGCGCAAGCCUGAUCCAGCCAUGCCGCGUGAGUGAAGAAGGCCUUCGGGUUGUAAAGCUCUUUCGGCAGGAACGAAAUGGUUCGUGUUAAUACCACGGACUGAUGACGGUACCUGAAGAAGAAGCACCGGCUAACUACGUGCCAGCAGCCGCGGUAAUACGUAGGGUGCAGGCGUUAAUCGGAAUUACUGGGCGUAAAGCGUGCGCAGGCGGUUUCUUAAGUCAGAUGUGAAAGCCCCGGGGCUUAACCUGGGAACUGCGUUUGAAACUGGGAGACUUGAGUGUGGCAGAGGGGGGUUGGAAUUCCACGUGUAGCAGUGAAAUGCGUAGAUAUGUGGAGGAACACCGAUGGCGAAGGCAGCCCCCUGGGUUAACACUGACGCUCAUGCACGAAAGCGUGGGGAGCAAACAGGAUUAGAUACCCUGGUAGUCCACGCCCUAAACUAUGUCAACUGGUUGUCGGGGGUAUUGAUUCCCUUGGUAACGAAGCUAACGCGUGAAGUUGACCGCCGNGGAGUACGGCGCGAGUAAACGUACAAGAGAGUAGCGNGNGAGNGCGACGACGACGACGACGGAGGAGGAG
This 618-nucleotide ribosomal RNA is filed under the name uncultured bacterium. RNAcentral's name for it is "bacterial SSU rRNA". The stretch from base 1 to 546 matches the Rfam family "Bacterial small subunit ribosomal RNA", at positions 338 to 873 of the family's 1533-position model. The record is from RNAcentral.